AGAGUUUGAUCCUGGCUCAGAUUGAACGCUGGCGGAAUGCUUUACACAUGCAAGUCGAGCGGCAGCGCAGGGCAACCUGGCGGCGAGCGGCGAACGGGUGAGUAAUGCAUCGGAACAUGUCCAUGUCGUGGGGGAUAGCCCGGCGAAAGCCGGAUUAAUACCGCAUACGCCCGAGAGGGGAAAGUGGGGGACCGCAAGGCCUCACGCGAUUGGGUUGGCCGAUGUCCGAUUAGCUAGUUGGCGGGGUAAAGGCCCACCAAGGCGAUGAUCGGUAGCUGGUCUGAGAGGAUGAUCAGCCACACUGGGACUGAGACAGGGCCCAGACUCCUACGGGAGGCAGCAGUGGGGAAUUUUGGACAAUGGGGGCAACCCUGAUCCAGCCAUUCCGCGUGAGUGAAGAAGGCCUUCGGGUUAUAAAGCUCUUUUGUCCGGAACGAAACGGCUAGCGUGAAUAUCGCUGGCUACUGACGGUACCGGAAGAA
This 482-nucleotide ribosomal RNA is filed under the name uncultured bacterium. RNAcentral describes it as "bacterial SSU rRNA". It matches the Rfam family "Bacterial small subunit ribosomal RNA", at positions 8 to 486 of the family's 1533-position model. The record is from RNAcentral.